Molecule: ribosomal RNA, 409 nt
Filed under: uncultured Glomeromycotina
Lineage: Eukaryota; Fungi; Glomeromycota
Description: SSU rRNA
Rfam family: Eukaryotic small subunit ribosomal RNA
Source: RNAcentral
AUUGUUGGUUUCUCCCUUCUGACGAACCAUGAUGUCAUUUAUUUGGUGUUGUGGGGAAUCAGGACUGUUACUUUGAAAAAAUCAGAGUGUUUAAAGCAGGCUCACGCUUGAAUACAUUAGCAUGGAAUAAUGAAAUAGGACGUUUGAUUCUAUUUUGUUGGUUUCUAGGAUCGACGUAAUGAUUAAUAGGGAUAGUUGGGGGCAUUAGUAUUCAAUUGUCAGAGGUGAAAUUCUUGGAUUUAUUGAAGACUAACUACUGCGAAAGCAUUUGCCAAGGAUGUUUUCAUUAAUCAAGAACGAAAGUUAGGGGAUCGAAGACGAUCAGAUACCGUCGUAGUCUUAACCAUAAACUAUGCCGACUAGGGAUCGGAUGAUGUUAAUUUUUUAAUGACUCAUUCGGCGCCUUACG